CCUACCACGCCGACGCUAGAAAUCCCUUGCGCGCUGCUGAACAGACAGGCAGCUCAGCUGACAGGCAGCAGUUGUUUUAAAAGGAGAAACAAAGGAAUUUCCUACUGUUGCUGCAAGAAUAUUGCGUUAUGAAAAGCUGGUCAAUUUGGCUGGAUUACACAUCUGCUGCUGCAGUCAUAUUUACAGACAAUGGCCUGGUUUUGUUUUCAAUAUGUCUGGAAUCAGCCUGUCAGCACAUUUAAUACUAUUUGUUGCAACGUGCAGGACCCAAGCACCAACGUCCCACUAGACGCCAUAAUGUUUACUACCGAUGGCUUGGGGUCACCGAUGUCUCCUUAGAUGAUGUGCAUGGAUUCUUCAGUUUACAUAAAUACAGCAAAUGGUCUUUGGGGGGGAAAAAAAGAACAAAAGCUUUAAUUAAAAUAAUUUAAUAUACUA
Long non-coding RNA from Pseudophryne corroboree (corroboree frog), 438 nucleotides. RefSeq lists it as uncharacterized. Lineage: Eukaryota; Metazoa; Chordata; Amphibia; Anura; Myobatrachidae. The record is from RefSeq and is a predicted model, not a curated record. The transcript has 2 exons.